GCUUGCGCUCGGGUGUGAAGAGUCUCAUCCGGUAGAGCGAAUGAUUAGAGGCCUUGGGGUCGAAACGACCUCAACCUAUUCUCAAACUCCAAAUAGAUGAGAACCCCGGCUUGCUUGAAUUUUUUUUAUUGAAGCCGCGGACUCGAUCAGAGUGCCAAGUGGGCCAAUUUUGGUAAGCAGAACUGGCGCUGUGG
Molecule: ribosomal RNA, 194 nt
Filed under: Corythucha sp. CW-2009
Lineage: Eukaryota; Metazoa; Arthropoda; Insecta; Hemiptera; Tingidae
Description: partial 28S ribosomal RNA
Rfam family: Eukaryotic large subunit ribosomal RNA
Source: RNAcentral